GUCAAGGUCAAUGCCUACUUGGUCUUUGAGGACGGCCCAGCUGAGGGUCCAGCCCUGGAGAGCCCUGGGAGCGGGGACACACCUGGCCAGGACCCUGCUGCGGGGCGGGAGUGUGACACCACAAGCAGGGCUGGUUCUGGCGGGCAUGAGGGCCUGCCCAGGCUCCUGGCCUGCUGUGGGCAGCAGCUCACACCAACAUCUCCUCACUGUGGCACAACGCCAGGAGAAAGGCCAGGUCUUCCGGCAGACUGGGGCUGGCCGGUGGCCGGGUUUGGCAGCCUCAGUCCUCUCUGGGUGACAUGGAUUCUUAGCUGAAAAGAAAAAGGAGAAGCCAGGAGGGCCCCUGAGGAGUGAGUGUCUGUCACCUGGCCUCCGACUCUGGCGCUUCAGGACCGUGUCCUCUCUCUCCAGCUGGUAGGUCCUCGUGAGAAAAGCCCAGGCCUAGGUACCAGGAGGCUCCCGGCUUGUCCCUAGGACGCAGCCUGGCCCUGGGUGCCGGCACCUUGUUUCCCAUGGGCUGGGAGAGUCUGGAGGGCCCAGAGGGACAGGAAAGACUUGUUUCCUGAAGGAGUCACUCAACUGCUGUGCUAGAACAGAAUAUUCCGGAAGAAGCUGAAAUGGAGGAAGAGAAGCCAUGGUCCAGAUGGAAGCGAGUGAGUAACCGUGGCCGUGGGGACAGUGGCUGCCCUCCACGUACCCCAUGGGACCCUGGAGCUCUGGACUAGGGCAACCCAGCAGGAUGUCCACUGAGCCAGCCAAGCCUGGGGGCAGGGGGAGCAGCUUCGGAGACUCUGGGCCUGAGAUGUCUGGAGAAAGUCCAGGUGGGUGCCGGGCAGCCGCAGGUAUGAGAGGGGCCCACGCAGAGGCCGGUGGGGAGAGACCCUGGUGGAGCCCCAGCCGGGGACGGCUGCAUCAUGGGCCGGCACCUGCUUCUUGUGUUGAAUGAAUGAUAAUCAAAAGCAGCAAAACUUAAUGAAAAUAGAACAAAUAGUUUCAUUAAAA
Molecule: long non-coding RNA, 1002 nt
Filed under: Marmota monax (woodchuck)
Lineage: Eukaryota; Metazoa; Chordata; Mammalia; Rodentia; Sciuridae
Source: RNAcentral